This 400-nucleotide unclassified non-coding RNA is filed under the name soil metagenome. RNAcentral's name for it is "partial contains 5.8S ribosomal RNA, internal transcribed spacer 2, and large subunit ribosomal RNA". The stretch from base 1 to 120 matches the Rfam family "5.8S ribosomal RNA", at positions 35 to 154 of the family's 154-position model. The record is from RNAcentral.
GAUGAAGAACGCAGUGAAAUGCGAUACUUGGUGUGAAUUGCAGAAUCCCGUGAACCAUCGAGUCUUUGAACGCAAGUUGCGCCCGAAGCCUCGGCUAAGGGCACGUCUGCCUGGGCGUCACGCAUCGCGUCUCCCCCAAACCGCCAAGGCGGAGGGGAAGGAAGAUGGCUUCCCGUGCCUCACCCGGGCGCGGUUGGCCUAAAUUUGGAGCCCGCGGCACUUAGCUCUCGCGGCGAUAGGUGGUGAACAAGGCCUUGGCCGUGCAAACAACCCGCUGCGAAGCUCUAUGUCACGUGCGCUCGUCGGACCCUUUGAAGUUGCCUUUGGUGACUUAAAACCUUUGCGACCCCAGGUCAGGCGGGGCUACCCGCUGAAUUUAAGCAUAUCAAUAAGCGGAGGA